GGGGAAUAUUGCACAAUGGAGGAAACUCUGAUGCAGCAACGCCGCGUGAGUGAUGAAGGUCUUCGGAUUGUAAAACUCUGUCUUAUGGGACGAUAAUGACGGUACCAUAGGAGGAAGCCACGGCUAACUACGUGCCAGCAGCCGCGGUAAUACGUAGGUGGCAAGCGUUGUCCGGAUUUACUGGGCGUAAAGGAUGUGUAGGCGGAUAUUUAAGUGAGAUGUGAAAUCCCCGGGCUUAACUUGGGGGCUGCAUUUCAAACUGGAUGUCUAGAGUGCAGGAGAGGAAAGCAGAAUUCCUAGUGUAGUGGUGAAAUGCGUAGAGAUUAGGAAGAAUACCAGUGGCGAAGGCGGUUCUCUGGACUGUAACUGACGCUGAGGCACGAAAGCGUGGGUAGCAAAC
This 400-nucleotide ribosomal RNA is filed under the name uncultured bacterium. RNAcentral's name for it is "bacterial SSU rRNA". It matches the Rfam family "Bacterial small subunit ribosomal RNA", at positions 356 to 773 of the family's 1533-position model. The record is from RNAcentral.